AGUGAACGCUGGCGGUAGGCCUAACACAUGCAAGUCGAACGGCAGCACAGUAAGAGCUUGCUCUUACGGGUGGCGAGUGGCGGACGGGUGAGGAAUACAUCGGAAUCUACUUUUUCGUGGGGGAUAACGUAGGGAAACUUACGCUAAUACCGCAUACGACCUACGGGUGAAAGCAGGGGAUCUUCGGACCUUGCGCGAUUGAAUGAGCCGAUGUCGGAUUAGCUAGUUGGCGGGGUAAAGGCCCACCAAGGCGACGAUCCGUAGCUGGUCUGAGAGGAUGAUCAGCCACACUGGAACUGAGACACGGUCCAGACUCCUACGGGAGGCAGCAGUGGGGAAUCUUGGACAAUGGGCGCAAGCCUGAUCCAGCAACGCCGCGUGAGUGAAGAAGGCCUUCGGGUCGUAAAGCCCUGUUGUUGGGAAAGAAAAGCAGCAGGUGAAUACAUGGAUGUUUUGACGGUACCCAAAGAAUAAGCACCGGCUAACUUCGUG
RNAcentral lists this ribosomal RNA (492 nucleotides) under uncultured bacterium. RNAcentral describes it as "partial 16S ribosomal RNA". It matches the Rfam family "Bacterial small subunit ribosomal RNA", at positions 29 to 507 of the family's 1533-position model. The record is from RNAcentral.